CAGUGGGGAAUAUUGGACAAUGGGCGAAAGCCUGAUCCAGCAAUGCCGCGUGUGUGAAGAAGGCCUUCGGGUUGUAAAGCACUUUUGUCCGGAAAGAAAUCCUUGGCUCUAAUACAGCCGGGGGAUGACGGUACCGGAAGAAUAAGCACCGGCUAACUACGUGCCAGCAGCCGCGGUAAUACGUAGGGUGCAAGCGUUAAUCGGAAUUACUGGGCGUAAAGCGUGCGCAGGCGGUUUGCUAAGACCGAUGUGAAAUCCCCGGGCUCAACCUGGGAACUGCAUUGGUGACUGGCAGGCUAGAGUAUGGCAGAGGGGGGUAGAAUUCCACGUGUAGCAGUGAAAUGCGUAGAGAUGUGGAGGAAUACCGAUGGCGAAGGCAGCCCCCUGGGCCAAUACUGACGCUCAUGCACGAAAGCGUGGGGAGCAAACAGGAUUAGA
Molecule: ribosomal RNA, 438 nt
Filed under: uncultured bacterium
Lineage: Bacteria
Description: bacterial SSU rRNA
Rfam family: Bacterial small subunit ribosomal RNA
Source: RNAcentral